RNAcentral lists this ribosomal RNA (504 nucleotides) under uncultured bacterium. Its description in RNAcentral is "partial 16S ribosomal RNA". It matches the Rfam family "Bacterial small subunit ribosomal RNA", at positions 29 to 523 of the family's 1533-position model. The record is from RNAcentral.
AUUGAACGCUGGCGGCAGGCCUAACACAUGCAAGUCGAGCGGUAACACAGGGAGCUUGCUCCCGGGUGACGAGCGGCGGACGGGUGAGUAAUGUCUGGGAAACUGCCUGAUGGAGGGGGAUAACUACUGGAAACGGUAGCUAAUACCGCAUAAUGUCGCAAGACCAAAGAGGGGGACCUUCGGGCCUCUUGCCAUCAGAUGUGCCCAGAUGGGAUUAGCUAGUAGGUGGGGUAACGGCUCACCUAGGCGACGAUCCCUAGCUGGUCUGAGAGGAUGACCAGCCACACCGGAACUGAGACACGGUCCAGACUCCUACGGGAGGCGGCAGUGGGGAAUAUUGCACAAUGGGCGCAAGCCUGAUGCAGCCAUGCCGCGUGUAUGAAGAAGGCCUUCGGGUUGUAAGGUACUUUCAGCGGGGAGGAAGGCGAUAAGGCUAAUAACCUUGUCGAUUGACGUUACCCGCAGAAGAAGCACCGGCUAACUCCGUGCCAGCAGCCGCCGUAA